This is a long non-coding RNA of Eriocheir sinensis (Chinese mitten crab), 1147 nucleotides long. RefSeq lists it as uncharacterized. Lineage: Eukaryota; Metazoa; Arthropoda; Malacostraca; Decapoda; Varunidae. The record is from RefSeq and is a predicted model, not a curated record. The transcript has 2 exons.
UGGUGGUGAUGCAAGCGGUGAUGUAGAAAGGAGGUGGUGAUGGCAGGAAGUCUUUGUGGCGGUGUCGAUGGUGAAGAUGGUGUUAGUGGUGAUGGAAAUGGUGGUGACAGUCCUUGUGGUGGUGAUGAUGAAGAAAAGUGUUAGUGGUGAUGGGGGUGGUGAUGCAAGUGGUGGUAGCAGGAACUCUUAGUGGUGGUGAAGAAUAGUGUUAGUGGUGAUGCAAGUUAUGGUGAUGGCAGUAAAAAUGGUGUUAAUAGUGAUGGGAAUGAUGUUAUUAGUCUGCGGUGGUAAUGGUGACAGUAGGUUUUUGUAGUGGUGAUGAUGGUGAGAAUGCUGUUAGUGGUAAUGAAGUGGUGGGAGCAGUCUUAGUUAUGGUGAUGAUAGUAAAAAUGGUGUUAAUUGUGAUGGGAAUUAUGUUAUUAGUCUGCGGUGGUAAUGGUGACUAGAUUUUUGUAGUGGUGAUGAUGGUAAGGAGUGGUGAUGGGGGGGAGGGGGUGACAGUCCUUGUGGUGGUGAUGAUCGUGUUAGCGGUGUUGUGCGAGGUAAUACAAGUGAUGGUGACGGUCUUUGCGGUGGUGGUGGUGAUACAGAUGGUGUGGGUGGUGAUGAAGUGGUGAUGACAGUCUUUGCGGCGGUGUUGGGGCAAUAGUGGGUGUGUUUGUUUUGUGUCCCCGUGAAAACAAGAGAAAGAUUGUGCUUCCUUACCGACCAUCCCGUUGUGUCCGCAGCUCAGGGGCAGGAGAAGCAGGAGAGAGACAGCGCCGACGACCCACAUGCUGUCUCUCUCUCUCUCUCUCUCUCUCUCUCUCUCUCUCUCUCUCUCUCUCUCUCUCUCUCUCUCUCUCUCUCUCUCUCUCUCUCUCUCUCUCUCUCUCUCUCUCUCUCUCUCUCUCUCUCUCUCUCUCUCUCUCUCUCUCUCUCUCACUGAUAAAAGAGAAUAUUUACACUGCUCCUCUCACUUUAAUAUUGUCUUCUCUUUUCUAGGAAGGAGGAGGAGGAGGAGGAGGAGGAGGAGGAGGAGCAGAAGGAGGAAGGCACGCGAGAGGUUAAAAUCGCUUAUAUGAAUAUUUCUCUCUCUCUCUCUCUCUCUCUCUCUCUCUCUCUCUCUCUCUCUCUCUCUCUCUCUCUCUCUCUCUCUCUCUCUCUC